This 534-nucleotide ribosomal RNA is filed under the name uncultured bacterium. Its description in RNAcentral is "bacterial SSU rRNA". It matches the Rfam family "Bacterial small subunit ribosomal RNA", at positions 777 to 1304 of the family's 1533-position model. The record is from RNAcentral.
AAUAGAUACCCAGGUAGUCCACGCCGUAAACGGUGGGCACUAGGUGUGGGCAGCAUUCCACGUUGUCCGUGCCGUAGCUAACGCAUUAAGUGCCCCGCCUGGGGAGUACGGCCGCAAGGCUAAAACUCAAAGGAAUUGACGGGGGCCCGCACAAGCGGCGGAGCAUGUGGCUUAAUUCGACGCAACGCGAAGAACCUUACCAAGGCUUGACAUACACCGGAAACAUCCAGAGAUGGGUGCCCCCUUGUGGUCGGUGUACAGGUGGUGCAUGGCUGCCGUCAGCUCGUGUCGUGAGAUGUUGGGUUAAGUCCCGCAACGAGCGCAACCCUUGUCCCGUGUUGCCAGCAGGCCCUUGUGGUGCUGGGGACUCACGGGAGACCGCCGGGGUCAACUCGGAGGAAGGUGGGGACGACGUCAAGUCAUCAUGCCCCUUAUGUCUUGGGCUGCACACGUGCUACAAUGGCCGGUACAAAGAGCUGCGAUACCGUGAGGUGGAGCGAAUCUCAAAAAGCCGGUCUCAGUUCGGAUUGGGGU